This 499-nucleotide ribosomal RNA is filed under the name uncultured bacterium. RNAcentral's name for it is "bacterial SSU rRNA". It matches the Rfam family "Bacterial small subunit ribosomal RNA", at positions 29 to 507 of the family's 1533-position model. The record is from RNAcentral.
ACGAACGCUGGCGGCGUGCCUAAUACAUGCAAGUCGAGCGGAAUGAUGAAGAAGCUUGCUUCUUCUGAUUUUAGCGGCGGACGGGUGAGUAACACGUGGGCAACCUACCUUGUAGAUUGGGAUAACUCCGGGAAACCGGGGCUAAUACCGAAUAAUCCAUUUUGCUUCAUGGCGAGAUGUUGAAAGACGGUUUCGGCUGUCACUAUAAGAUGGGCCCGCGGCGCAUUAGCUAGUUGGUAGGGUAAUGGCCUACCAAGGCGACGAUGCGUAGCCGACCUGAGAGGGUGAUCGGCCACACUGGGACUGAGACACGGCCCAGACUCCUACGGGAGGCAGCAGUAGGGAAUCUUCCACAAUGGACGAAAGUCUGAUGGAGCAACGCCGCGUGAGUGAAGAAGGUUUUCGGAUCGUAAAUCUCUGUUGUAAGGGAAGAACACGUACGAGAGUAACUGCUCGUACCUUGACGGUACCUUAUUAGAAAGCCACGGCUAACUACGUG